ACAUUUGAUUAUAUGGUCUCUGUAACUGGACAAUUACAAACUUAAACAUUGUUUAAUUUGUAUCUUUGUUCUGUUUAUUUCUUUGUGCUAUUUACACAUUUUAAACAGGGACCUGUACCCUGGUCAGACAAGAAACCUGUGAAAGUGGAUGGUCUGCAUAUAAAGGUAGAUGCUUCCGCUUUUUUAACUUUCCGCGUUCCUGGAUUGAUGCAGAGAAACAGUGUUUGGGCUACGAUGGGAACCUGGCCUCUGUACACAGUUAUGAGGA
Molecule: long non-coding RNA, 268 nt
Organism: Carassius carassius (crucian carp)
Lineage: Eukaryota; Metazoa; Chordata; Actinopteri; Cypriniformes; Cyprinidae
Exons: 3
Source: RefSeq, a predicted model, not a curated record